Molecule: long non-coding RNA, 1532 nt
Organism: Rhineura floridana
Lineage: Eukaryota; Metazoa; Chordata; Lepidosauria; Squamata; Rhineuridae
Exons: 4
Source: RefSeq, a predicted model, not a curated record
GAACGGAAAUUGACCGUUCCUUUCAUCCCUACUCCAGACUAUUUCCAAGGUGCACACCCAGCAGAAUUUGAUUUCCAGCACCCUGAAGCCUGGCCACUUUGGAUAAGCAGAUUCCAAAGGUCCUCCCGGACAUCUAGCCUGGAUCAGCAGUUGCAGAAACAAGUAAACACUCUUUUUGUAGUAUAUUAUGGGCCCAGCAGAAGAGAAUACGUAUAAUCCUUUCAAGGAGUCUCACAGAAGAAGCCCAGGUGAAAUAGUUUGAAACCAUCAAAGACAACCUAGUUAAGCACUUCCUGCCUCCUCCUUGCAAUGUUUGAGCAAGCCCAAUUCCACUCCCACCAGCAAGGGCAAGAAGUAUCUUACAUCAUCACAGCCCUGUAAGCUCUGAUCCAACACUGGAUAUUAUGGGAAAAUGAGUGAGGAACUAGGGGGGUGCAGAGACUGGUACAAAGGCUCAGAGACGGUCACCUGUCUUGAGAUGUUGCAAAAUGACCCUGAUCUCCCCGUUGGAGACAGCCAAGUCACAGGAAAUCUGCAAAUGGCUGUGAAUGCAGAGAACUGAAUUUUAGAUUGGAAAACAUGAGAAACAGAGAGAACAGAAAUGGACAGAUCCUUCUGCCUCUACGUACCAGGGCAAACGUGCAUUCCAGUACACCCUCAGCUUAAAAAAUGAAAGAGCAUUCAAAGAGGCACGUCCCCACCCGCCUUUGGAGUCUGUCGUCUCAUUUUGCUGCAUACGUCGACUCAAUGUGACAACCUUGCUGUGAGGAAUUGCAGUAGACAAGCCCAUUUGCGGAAAUGCGCCUCAUCAUGGAACAGAAAGAAAGAAAGAAAGCUGCUUGUUUCAUGGCUUCUUUAACAGCCUUCUCCUCCUCCACCCGGCUGUCAAGUUGGCAAAGUGCUUUGAACUCAGUGUUGUUUGAAAAGUGGUGGCUGUGGUGGUGGUGACCUUGUGGGCACCCCUCAUCCUGCCCCUCCUCUUCUAGCCACGUCCCCUUUGAGCGGACCGACCCGCUGGCUGCACCGGGCCCUCAGAACAGCCUUUCCUGAGGCCGGUGCCCUCCAGAUGUCAUGGAGCACAAGUCACAUCAGCCCCAGCCUGCACAGCUGACUGACGCUCAGGCUGAUGGGAGUGGGAGCCCAAGAACCAGGUUGGGGAAGGCUGCCUUUGGAAGUGAAAAAGCUGCCUGCUCGCCAUCUUCCUAUGUGGGCCACGGUUAAAACCCCUAGAAGAGCUAUUCAUGCAAACGCAUAGCAGGGUGGCCUCCUUUUGAGGGUGGAUAAUUCUGCUGGUUCUCUGCAAUCAGGAAUGAUUGAAUGAUCCAACCACCCUUUAUCCCGAGGCACAGAAGAGAAGCAGCAAGAAGUACCUCUGAGCAUGCAUAAAGCACUUCAUGCCACUCACGACUACAGAGAAGGAACUUCUUAAAAAUAUGAAAACAGGGCAGGAGCUUCCGACUGUUUUGAUGCUGCAGCCUCUUUUAGGGGCUGGGUUGUUCUGCCAUCUCAUCUGCUUUUAAAAAAAACUUUUU